RNAcentral lists this ribosomal RNA (162 nucleotides) under Debregeasia orientalis. Its description in RNAcentral is "5.8S ribosomal RNA". The stretch from base 29 to 162 matches the Rfam family "5.8S ribosomal RNA", at positions 1 to 132 of the family's 154-position model. Rfam says of the family: 5.8S ribosomal RNA (5.8S rRNA) is a component of the large subunit of the eukaryotic ribosome. It is transcribed by RNA polymerase I as part of the 45S precursor that also contains 18S and 28S rRNA. The record is from RNAcentral. Lineage: Eukaryota; Viridiplantae; Streptophyta; Magnoliopsida; Rosales; Urticaceae.
GUCGUUCACUACAAUUAAAUGUCGUAACGACUCUCGGCAACGGAUAUCUCGGCUCUCGCAUCGAUGAAGAACGUAGCGAAAUGCGAUACUUGGUGUGAAUUGCAGAAUCCCGUGAACCAUCGAGUCUUUGAACGCAAGUUGCGCCCGAAGCCGUUAGGCCGA